Daphnia magna is the source of this 449-nucleotide long non-coding RNA. RefSeq lists it as uncharacterized. The transcript is spliced from 3 exons. The record is from RefSeq and is a predicted model, not a curated record. NCBI's taxonomy places the organism in Eukaryota, Metazoa, Arthropoda, Branchiopoda, Diplostraca, Daphniidae.
UACAACAUAUUGAAUUUAUCGAUCGAUUGUUAGGCCGAUUUCGAUCAGCAUUGUAUAGUUAAUGAAUGACAACUUGACGAGAUCUUGACACGCACGUUGGAAGUGUACGCGUGUUUGCACCUCGAUGAGCGUUGCACAAUAACAAAGCUCCGUUGGUGAGCGUAUUGAUUAAUAAAGGUGAAGUCCUUGAGUGCCUCAAGGACUUUGUUUUGUUUUAGCAGUAUUUUUUCCUUCAACAAUUAAUCUUGCAUCUCCAACCGUGGAAUGAGUUACAUGUGACUCGAGACAAACAAACAGUGCAAUUGCAACAAUAUAAUUAGUCAGCGAUAUAAAUUUGCCAUAUCUUCAUGCCAACCACAAGGAUUCUGCUUUUGCACACACCUUGCUAAUUAUAAUUUUGCACCUUGCCUUGGGAAGGCUAUACCCUUCCCACUUUUUCAUUUUUGGCC